RNAcentral lists this ribosomal RNA (253 nucleotides) under uncultured bacterium. Its description in RNAcentral is "partial 16S ribosomal RNA". It matches the Rfam family "Bacterial small subunit ribosomal RNA", at positions 524 to 776 of the family's 1533-position model. The record is from RNAcentral.
UACGGAGGGGGCUAGCGUUGUUCGGAAUUACUGGGCGUAAAGCGCGCGUAGGCGGAUCUGCAAGUCGGGGGUGAAAUCCCGAGGCUCAACCUCGGAACUGCCCUUGAUACUGCGGGUCUCGAGUCCGAGAGAGGUGAGUGGAAUUCCUAGUGUAGAGGUGAAAUUCGUAGAUAUUAGGAAGAACACCAGUGGCGAAGGCGGCUCACUGGCUCGGUACUGACGCUGAGGCGCGAAAGCGUGGGGAGCAAACAGG